GAUGAACGCUGGCGGCGUGCCUAAUACAUGCAAGUCGAGCGAACAGACGAGGAGCUUGCUCCUCUGACGUUAGCGGCGGACGGGUGAGUAACACGUGGAUAACCUACCUAUAAGACUGGGAUAACUUCGGGAAACCGGAGCUAAUACCGGAUAAUAUAUUGAACCGCAUGGUUCAAUAGUGAAAGACGGUUUUGCUGUCACUUAUAGAUGGAUCCGCGCCGCAUUAGCUAGUUGGUACGGUAACGGCUUACCAAGGCAACGAUGCGUAACCGACCUGAGAGUGUGAACGGCCACACUAGAACUGGGACACGGUCCAGACUCCUACGAGAGGCAGCAGUAGGGAAUCUUCCGCAAUGGGCGAGAGCCUGACGGAGCAACGCCGCGUGAGUGAUAGAGGUCUUCGGAUCGUAAAACUCUGUUAUUAGGGAAGAACAAAUGUGUAAGUAACUAUGCACGUCUUGACGGUACCUAAUCAGAAAGCCACGGCUAACUACGUG
Molecule: ribosomal RNA, 497 nt
Filed under: uncultured bacterium
Lineage: Bacteria
Description: partial 16S ribosomal RNA
Rfam family: Bacterial small subunit ribosomal RNA
Source: RNAcentral